UCAGGAUAUCCUUAAAGCUGAAGUCAAUGC
Molecule: non-coding RNA, 30 nt
Filed under: Rattus norvegicus (Norway rat)
Lineage: Eukaryota; Metazoa; Chordata; Mammalia; Rodentia; Muridae
Source: RNAcentral